Molecule: long non-coding RNA, 385 nt
Filed under: Olea europaea (common olive)
Lineage: Eukaryota; Viridiplantae; Streptophyta; Magnoliopsida; Lamiales; Oleaceae
Description: long non-coding RNA (OEUR_LNC006203)
Source: RNAcentral
UAGUUAGCUGAAGAUCCUACGGAACGUGUGGAUAAAAAAAUAUGUUUAUCAAGCUUAAAUUAUUAUUUAAACUUUGCCAAAGAUGCUCCCCACAACCAAAAAUCAAAAUUUAUUAAUAAAUCCAACAAGUUAACUCAAAAUUUUACGACACCCAGGUUUUGAAACCCUCGACAAAGCAAAGGUCUGAUCAACCAAUUAUUAACUUUAUUCAAAAUUCAAAUAUCAACUGCGAGUGCACAUAAGCAAUGGUAACUCAGCACCGAAUCCCAGCUCUGAGCUUCUAAUUGCUUGCAAGCAGAUAGACAAUAACAACCUAUUUCGUAAAACCCUAUAACAAUCAAUUUAUUGAACAAGAUAUCUAAAAAAUCAUUAAAGAAACUUGAAA